RNAcentral lists this transfer RNA (85 nucleotides) under Felis catus (domestic cat). It matches the Rfam family "tRNA". Rfam says of the family: Transfer RNA (tRNA) molecules are approximately 80 nucleotides in length. Their secondary structure includes four short double-helical elements and three loops (D, anti-codon, and T loops). Further hydrogen bonds mediate the characteristic L-shaped molecular structure. tRNAs have two regions of fundamental functional importance: the anti-codon, which is responsible for specific mRNA codon recognition, and the 3' end, to which the tRNAs corresponding amino acid is attached (by aminoacyl-tRNA synthetases). tRNAs cope with the degeneracy of the genetic code in two manners: having more than one tRNA (with a specific anti-codon) for a particular amino acid; and 'wobble' base-pairing, i.e. permitting non-standard base-pairing at the 3rd anti-codon position. Lineage: Eukaryota; Metazoa; Chordata; Mammalia; Carnivora; Felidae. The record is from Rfam by way of RNAcentral.
GCCUGGGGGGCUCAGUCGGUUGAGCAUCUGACUUGGGCUCAGGUCACGAUCUCGCAGUUUGUGGGUUUGAGCCCCGCGUCGGGCU